RNAcentral lists this ribosomal RNA (534 nucleotides) under Talaromyces radicus. RNAcentral describes it as "eukaryotic LSU rRNA". The stretch from base 154 to 307 matches the Rfam family "5.8S ribosomal RNA". Lineage: Eukaryota; Fungi; Ascomycota; Eurotiomycetes; Eurotiales; Trichocomaceae. The record is from RNAcentral.
CCCACCCGUGUUUACCGUUACCGCGUUGCCUCGGCGGGCCCACUGGGGCCCGGCCCCGGUCGCCGGGGGGCUUCUGCCCCCGGGCCCGCGCCCGCCGACGCACCCUAGAACCCUGCCUGAAUAGUGAGUCUGAGUGAGAUUUGAAAUCAUUAAAACUUUCAACAACGGAUCUCUUGGUUCCGGCAUCGAUGAAGAACGCAGCGAAAUGCGAUAAGUAAUGUGAAUUGCAGAAUUCCGUGAAUCAUCGAAUCUUUGAACGCACAUUGCGCCCCCUGGCAUUCCGGGGGGCAUGCCUGUCCGAGCGUCAUUUCUGCCCUCCAGCACGGCUGGGUGUUGGGCGCUGUCCCCCCGGGGACACGCCCCAAAAGCAGUGGCGGCGCCGCGUCGGGUCCUCGAGCGUAUGGGGCUUUGUCACCCGCUCGGGAGGGACUCGGUCGGCGCUGGUCUUCCCUUUAGGCCGCCCUUCGGGGUGCGCCUCUUCCGGUUGACCUCGGAUCAGGUAGGGCUACCCGCUGAACUUAAGCAUAUCAAUAA